This 497-nucleotide ribosomal RNA is filed under the name uncultured bacterium. RNAcentral describes it as "partial 16S ribosomal RNA". It matches the Rfam family "Bacterial small subunit ribosomal RNA", at positions 28 to 507 of the family's 1533-position model. The record is from RNAcentral.
GACGAACGCUGGCGGCGUGCCUAAUACAUGCAAGUAGAACGCUGAAGAGAGGAGCUUGCUCUUCUUGGAUGAGUUGCGAACGGGUGAGUAACGCGUAGGUAACCUGCCUGGUAGCGGGGGAUAACUAUUGGAAACGAUAGCUGAUACCGCAUAAAAUUGAUUAUUGCAUGAUAAUUAAUUGAAAGAUGCAACUGCAUCACUACCAGAUGGACCUGCGUUGUAUUAGCUAGUUGGUGAGGUAACGGCUCACCAAGGCGACGAUACAUAGCCGACCUGAGAGGGUGAUCGGCCACACUGGGACUGAGACACGGCCCAGACUCCUACGGGAGGCAGCAGUAGGGAAUCUUCGGCAAUGGGGGGAACCCUGACCGAGCAACGCCGCGUGAGUGAAGAAGGUUUUCGGAUCGUAAAGCUCUGUUGUAAGAGAAGAACGGGUGUGAGAGUGGAAAGUUCACACUGUGACGGUAUCUUACCAGAAAGGGACGGCUAACUACGUG